RNAcentral lists this unclassified non-coding RNA (325 nucleotides) under Hevea brasiliensis (rubber tree). The record is from RNAcentral. Lineage: Eukaryota; Viridiplantae; Streptophyta; Magnoliopsida; Malpighiales; Euphorbiaceae.
AACCUUUGGAAUUCUGGUGCUGCCACCAACAAGAACAAUUUCAUCAAUCUGUUGCUUCUGCAAUCCAGCAUCCUCCAUUGCCUUCUUAACUGGUCCCAUGGUCUUUCUGAAUAAGUCGUUAUUCAACUCUUCAAACCUAGCUCUGGUAAGUGGUUCAGAGAAAUCCACACCGUCAAAGAGAGAUUCAAUCUCAACACGAACUUGAUGUUGGCUACUCAAAGCUCUCUUGGCACGUUCACUUUCUCUUCUAAGCUUUCCAAGAGCUCUAUUGUCCUUGCUAAUGUCCUUUCCAUGCUUCUUCUUGAUCAACUUGAUGAAGUACUCC